GAUGAACGCUGGCGGCGUGCUUAACACAUGCAAGUCGAACGGAAAGGCCCAAGCUUUCUUGGGUACUCGAGUGGCGAACGGGUGAGUAACACGUGGGUGAUCUGCCCUGCACUUCGGGAUAAGCCUGGGAAACUGGGUCUAAUACCGGAUAGGACGAUGGUUUGGAUGCCAUUGUGGAAAGUUUUUUCGGUGUUGGAUGAGCUCGCGGCCUAUCAGCUUGUUUGUGGGGUAAUGGCCUACCAAGGCGUCGACGGGUAGCCGGGCUGAGAGGGUGUACGGCCACAAUGGGACCGAGAUACGGCCCAGACUCCUACGGGGGGGAGGAGUGGGGAAUAAUGCAAAAUGGGGGCAAGCCUGAUGCAGCGAAGCCGCGUGGGGGAAGAAGGCCUUCGGGUUGUAAACUCCUUUCGGUAGGGACGAAGCGUUUUGUGACGGUACCUGGAGAAGAAGCACCGGCUAACUACGUG
This 467-nucleotide ribosomal RNA is filed under the name uncultured bacterium. RNAcentral describes it as "partial 16S ribosomal RNA". It matches the Rfam family "Bacterial small subunit ribosomal RNA", at positions 28 to 507 of the family's 1533-position model. The record is from RNAcentral.